AAAUACCUGAAGGAUUAGAUAACUAUAUUUAAAACCGACAAAGAUAUAUUUAGGGAAUCUAAAACGAAGUAUGUGUUGAAAGCUUACUAUAAGUAAGAAUCCUAAUUACUUUGUGGUGAUUACCCACCUGUGUGAUUAGGCGCGGGUUUUAUCUCUUUAGUAUCGGUUCUUUGGGUAACCA
RNAcentral lists this non-coding RNA (181 nucleotides) under Clostridium sp. RNAcentral's name for it is "6S RNA". It matches the Rfam family "6S / SsrS RNA". From Rfam's summary of the family: E. coli 6S RNA was the first non coding RNA to be sequenced, but its function was unknown until recently. It consists of 184 nucleotides that fold into an extended hairpin structure with a large single-stranded internal bulge. The 6S RNA specifically associates with RNA polymerase holoenzyme containing the sigma70 specificity factor. RNAcentral also lists the same sequence under 1 other name. The record is from RNAcentral. Lineage: Bacteria; Bacillati; Bacillota; Clostridia; Eubacteriales; Clostridiaceae.